RNAcentral lists this ribosomal RNA (496 nucleotides) under uncultured bacterium. RNAcentral describes it as "partial 16S ribosomal RNA". It matches the Rfam family "Bacterial small subunit ribosomal RNA", at positions 28 to 507 of the family's 1533-position model. The record is from RNAcentral.
GAUGAACGCUGGCGGCGUGCCUAAUACAUGCAAGUCGAGCGAACAGACGAGGAGCUUGCUCCUCUGACGUUAGCGGCGGACGGGUGAGUAACACGUGGAUAACCUACCUAUAAGACUGGGAUAACUUCGGGAAACCGGAGCUAAUACCGGAUAAUAUAUUGAACCGCAUGGUUCAAUAGUGAAAGACGGUUUUGCUGUCACUUAUAGAUGGAUCCGCGCCGCAUUAGCUAGUUGGUAGGUAACGGCUUACCAAGGCAACGAUGCGUAGCCGACCUGAGAGGGUGAUCGGCCACACUGGAACUGAGACACGGUCCAGACUCCUACGGGAGGCAGCAGUAGGGAAUCUUCCGCAAUGGGCGAAAGCCUGACGGAGCAACACCGCGUGAGUGAUGAAGGUCUUCGGAUCGUAAAACUCUGUUAUUAGGGAAGAACAAAUGUGUAAGUAACUAUGCACGUCUUGACGGUACCUAAUCAGAAAGCCACGGCUAACUACGUG